RNAcentral lists this ribosomal RNA (1007 nucleotides) under uncultured bacterium. Its description in RNAcentral is "bacterial SSU rRNA". It matches the Rfam family "Bacterial small subunit ribosomal RNA", at positions 123 to 1375 of the family's 1533-position model. The record is from RNAcentral.
AACCUACCUUUACUGGGGUAUAGCUCCGAGAAAUCGGGAUUAAUCCCCCAUAACACUCGUAAUGAGGCAUCUCGAUGCAGUGAAAGCUCUGGCGGUAAAAGAUGGGGAUGCGGUACAUUAGCUAGUUGGUGAGGUAAUGGCUCACCAAGGCCACGAUGUAUAGGGGGUCUGAGAGGAUGAUCCCCCACACUGGUACUGAGACACGGACCAGACUCCUACGGGAGGCAGCAGUAGGGAAUAUUGGUCAAUGGACGCAAGUCUGAACCAGCCAUGCCGCGUGCAGGAUGACAGCCCUAUGGGUCGUAAACUGCUUUUAUAAGGGAAGAAACCCCUGGAUGCGUCCGGGGCUGACGGUACUUUAUGAAUAAGGAUCGGCUAACAUCGUGCCAGCAGCCGCGGUAAGACGAAGGAUCCAAGCGUUGUCCGGAUUUACUGGGUUUAAAGGGUGCGUAGGCGGAGUGCUAAGUCAGUGGUGAAAGCCGCAGCUCAACUGCGGAACUGCCAUUGAAACUGGUAUUCUUGAAAUACGGUGGAGGUAGAUCGGAAUCCCGCACAAGCGGAGGAGCAUGUGGUUUAAUUCGAUGAUACGACGAGGAACCUUACCUGGUAUUAAAUGUCAGGCGACCGACGCCGAAAUGUGUCUUCCCUUCGGGGGCGACUGGCAAGGUGCUGCAUGGCUGUGGUCAGCUGGUGCCGGGAGCUGUUGGGUUAAGUCCCGCAACGAGCGCAACCCCUAUCUUUAGUUGCUAGCAGGUAAUGCUGAGGACUCUAAAGAAACGGCCUACGUAAGUAGUGAGGAAGGCGGGGACGACGUCAAGUCAUCAUGGCCCUUACGUCCAAGGCUACACACGUGAUCCAAUUGCCGGUACAAUGGGAGGCCACUUGGCAACAAGGCGCUAACCUCAAAAAACCAGUCUCGGUUCGGAUCGGGGUCUGCAACUCGACCUCGUGAAGCUGGAUUCGGCUAGUAAUCGGAUGUCAGCAAUGCAUCCGGUGAAUACGUUCCC